This 516-nucleotide long non-coding RNA is filed under the name Mytilus galloprovincialis (Mediterranean mussel). The record is from RNAcentral. Lineage: Eukaryota; Metazoa; Mollusca; Bivalvia; Mytilida; Mytilidae.
GCUUGGAAUGUGAAAAGAAACACAUGUGAACCUUAUAAUUUUCUUAAUAUUCAGCCAUGUGACGAGUUGCUGUUUUAUUUUUCUAGAUACAUUCAAACUUUACAGUUAUGUUUUGUGCAUCAUAUUUGUAUAUAUUCAUUUUGUUUCUCUCUCUCUCUCUCUCUCUCUCUCUCUCUCUCUCUCUCUCUCUCUCUCUCUCUCUCUCUCUAAUACUUUUUCAGCACAUGCGACUUGAAGGCUCCCUUUAUACCCCCUUUUGAAUUCCACCUCACUUAAAAUCUUACCACUUGGGGGAUUUCUCAGCUCAUAUAUAUUUUUUUUAUAAUUUUUCAUAUAAUCUGAGCAAUGGCCAUUCAUUGCAUUUUUUAUCACUGGUCAGUCUUUUAAAUGACAAUUUUUUAUCCCCCAAGUUCUAUCAACUUACAACUCACAUUUCAUUAGUUAUACUACAGUUGAUAGGACAAGUCACGUCGAAUUUCCUGUCAACCACUGUUUCGCAAGCAUCAAUAGUUCGCG